This 491-nucleotide long non-coding RNA is filed under the name Nicotiana benthamiana. RNAcentral describes it as "long non-coding RNA (NBEN_LNC030380)". Lineage: Eukaryota; Viridiplantae; Streptophyta; Magnoliopsida; Solanales; Solanaceae. The record is from RNAcentral.
GGGCCAGAAACCCUAGUUUUGAAAAGAGGAACAAGAACGUUUGAAAACUUGAAUUAAUCGAAGAUGUCGAGUAAUAAGUAGUGUAGAAAACAAAGAUUAAACCAAAAAAUCAUUUAAAAUACAUGGAUUCAGAGGUUUAGGAAAAAACUAGGGUUUGCAAUAAAAUCAGUGAGGUGAGAAACCUGGCAGUGAAACUCGUUAAUAAUGAAGUUUAAAGCAUCAUCAGACCAAAACCCAUCGGAGAAAGGCCAAAAACAGACCCAGACGAGGCUCCAGUGACCAUCUUUCAUGGUGGAAGCUACUGGGGCUUCAAAUCUUGGAGAGAAGCAAUGAUAUAGGAUUCCAUGGCGACUAGAGGACGAGAGAAGUGAGGACGGACUAUGGCCGGAGAGGCGAUGAAGCCCAUCGGAGAAGAAAGAGAGAACUAGAAGGUUCUAGAGAGAAGGGAGAGCAAGUGUUAUAGAGAGAGACAGAGUGUGUGUGUGUGUCUG